Molecule: RNA transcript, 1139 nt
Organism: Fulmarus glacialis (Northern fulmar)
Lineage: Eukaryota; Metazoa; Chordata; Aves; Procellariiformes; Procellariidae
Gene: HAO1
Gene name: hydroxyacid oxidase (glycolate oxidase) 1
Exons: 8
Source: RefSeq, a predicted model, not a curated record
AUGUCUGGAAAACCAGUUUGCAUUGCUGAUUUUGAAGAGUAUGCUAAAAAAUUCCUCCCUAAAUCAGUGUAUGAUUAUUACCGAUCCGGAGCAGAUGACCAGGAAACGCUAGCCGAUAAUGUAGCAGCAUUUUCAAGAUGGAAGCUGUACCCCCGAGUGCUCAGGGACGUGUCAGUAAUGGACCUGUCAACCUCAGUCUUGGGGCAGAGAAUCAGCAUGCCGGUCUGCGUUGGAGCGACCGCUAUGCAGCGCAUGGCUCACGCUGAUGGAGAGACGGCUACUGCUAAAGCCUGCCAGGCAAUGGGGACAGGGAUGAUGCUGAGCUCCUGGGCCACCUCUUCCAUUGAAGAAGUGGCUGAAGCAGCUCCAGCUGGCCUUCACUGGCUGCAGCUUUAUGUGUACAAGGACCGGGAGGUUACCAAAUCCCUCGUGAAGCGUGCGGAGAGAGCAGGCUACAAAGGGAUCUUUGUGACGGUGGACACGCCAUUCCUCGGCAGGCGCAUUGACGACGUGCGCAACAAGUUCCAGCUUCCUCCCCACCUCAGAUUAAAAAACUUUUCAAGCAGCGACCUGGCGUUCUCCUCAGGGAAAGACUUUGGAGAAAAUAGUGGACUGGCUGUGUACGUAGCCGAGGCGAUUGAUGCAAGCGUCAAUUGGGAGGACAUCAGAUGGCUUCGAGGGUUGACCUCGCUGCCCAUCGUCGCGAAAGGAAUACUCAGGGCUGAUGAUGCUAAAGAAGCUGUAAAGAUUGGGUUAAAUGGUAUCUUGGUGUCAAAUCAUGGAGCACGACAGCUUGAUGGGGUACCUGCAACUGUAAGUACUGGUGCCAAUAUGCACCAAUUGAUGUCUUGCCUGAAAUCGUUGAGGCUGUGGAGGGGAAGGUGGAGGUGUUCCUGGAUGGUGGUGUAAGAAAAGGCACAGAUGUUCUCAAAGCAUUAGCUCUCGGUGCCAAAGCUGUAUUCAUCGGAAGACCUCUCAUCUGGGGCUUGGUUUAUCAAGGUGAAGAAGGAGCAAAAGAAGUUCUCCAGAUGCUGAAGGAAGAGUUUCGCCUGGCAAUGGCACUGACAGGGUGCCAGAGAGUAGAAGAAAUUGGCAGGACAUUGAUACGAAGACAUCAAGUAUUAUUUUCUAAGAUUUAG